This 1215-nucleotide ribosomal RNA is filed under the name uncultured Sebacina. RNAcentral describes it as "eukaryotic LSU rRNA". The stretch from base 577 to 1215 matches the Rfam family "Eukaryotic large subunit ribosomal RNA", at positions 1 to 605 of the family's 3401-position model. Lineage: Eukaryota; Fungi; Basidiomycota; Agaricomycetes; Sebacinales; Sebacinaceae. The record is from RNAcentral.
UUCCGUAGGUGAACCUGCGGAAGGAUCAUUAAUGAAACUUCAAAGUCGGCCAAAGGUUGUUGCUGGUGAUUAUUCACAUGUGCACGCCUUUGGUCGCAAAUCCACACACACCUGUGCAUCUAUGACUCGAGGUUGUAAUGACUGAGAGUAACUUUUACACACUCUUGUAUGUAAUGGAAUGUCUUUUUGUGCUAUAAUGUACAAUAUAAACAACUUUCAACAACGGAUCUCUUGGCUCUCGCAUCGAUGAAGAACGCAGCGAAAUGCGAUAAGUAAUGUGAAUUGCAGAAUUCAGUGAAUCAUCGAAUCUUUGAACGCACCUUGCACCCUUUGGUAUUCCGAAGGGUACGCCCGUUUGAGUGUCAUUGUAAUCUCACUUCUACAACUUUAUUGUUGUUUGAAUGUGGACUUGGAUGUUGCCGUUUUAUCACGGCUCGUCUCAAAUGCCUGAGUGUACCCUGUUUUGCAGCGUAUCCAGUGUAAUAAACAUUUCACUAGAGUUGGUCGAAAGACCGYGUUGACUAUAUGGGCUCUAUGCUUCAAACYGUCUGCCAUGUGGACAAUUUCUUGACAAUUUGACCUCAAAUCGGGUGGGACUACCCGCUGAACUUAAGCAUAUCAAUAAGCGGAGGAAAAGAAACUAACAAGGAUUCCCCUAGUAACGGCGAGUGAAGAGGGAAAAGCUCAAAUUUUAAAUCUGGUGUCUUUGACUCCCGAGUUGUAAUCUAGAGAAGUGUUUUCCGUGUCGGACCGUGUACAAGUUCCCUGGAACGGGGCGUCAUAGAGGGUGAGAAUCCCGUAUAUGCCAYGGACUACCGAUGCUCUGUGAUACACUCUCAACGAGUCGAGUUGUUUGGGAAUGCAGCUCAAAAUGGGUGGUAAAUUCCAUCUAAAGCUAAAUAUUGGCGAGAGACCGAUAGCGAACAAGUACCGUGAGGGAAAGAUGAAAAGCACUUUGGAAAGAGAGUGAAACAGUACGUGAAAUUGUUGAAAGGGAAGCGUUUGAAGUCAGUCGCAUCUGUUGGGGUUCAGCCUGGCUUUUGCCUGGUGUAUUUCCUUUCCGAUGGGUCAGCAUCAGUUUCGACCGAGGGAAAAAGACAUUUGGAAUGUGGCUGUCUUCGGGCAGUGUUAUAGCCUUGUGUUGUAUGUCUCGGUUGGGACUGAGGAUUGCAGCGCGCCAUAAAUGGCCGGGGGUCGCUCCUCUCGACACGCGCU